AGAGUUUGAUCCUGGCUCAGAUUGAACGCUGGCGGCAGGCCUAACACAUGCAAGUCGAGCGGUAGCACAGAGAGCUUGCUCUCGGGUGACGAGCGGCGGACGGGUGAGUAAUGUCUGGGAAACUGCCUGAUGGAGGGGGAUAACUACUGGAAACGGUAGCUAAUACCGCAUAACGUCGCAAGACCAAAGUGGGGGACCUUCGGGCCUCAUGCCAUCAGAUGUGCCCAGAUGGGAUUAGCUAGUAGGUGGGGUAACGGCUCACCUAGGCGACGAUCCCUAGCUGGUCUGAGAGGAUGACCAGCCACACUGGAACUGAGACACGGUCCAGACUCCUACGGGAGGCAGCAGUGGGGAAUAUUGCACAAUGGGCGCAAGCCUGAUGCAGCCAUGCCGCGUGUGUGAAGAAGGCCUUCGGGUUGUAAAGCACUUUCAGCGGGGAGGAAGGCGUUAAGGUUAAUAACCUUGGCGAUUGACGUUACCCGCAGAAGAAGCACCGGCUAACUCCGUGCCAGCAGCCGCGGUAAUACGGAGGGUGCAAGCGUUAAUCGGAAUUACUGGGCGUAAAGCGCACGCAGGCGGUCUGUCAAGUCGGAUGUGAAAUCCCCGGGCUCAACCUGGGAACUGCAUUCGAAACUGGCAGGCUAGAGUCUUGUAGAGGGGGGUAGAAUUCCAGGUGUAGCGGUGAAAUGCGUAGAGAUCUGGAGGAAUACCGGUGGCGAAGGCGGCCCCCUGGACAAAGACUGACGCUCAGGUGCGAAAGCGUGGGGAGCAAACAGGAUUAGAUACCCUGGUAGUCCACGCCGUAAACGAUGUCGACUUGGAGGUUGUGCCCUUGAGGCGUGGCUUCCGGAGCUAACGCGUUAAAUCGACCGCCUGGGGAGUACGGCCGCAAGGUUAAAACUCAAAUGAAUUGACGGGGGCCCGCACAAGCGGUGGAGCAUGUGGUUUAAUUCGAUGCAACGCGAAGAACCUUACCUGGUCUUGACAUCCACAGAACUUUCCAGAGAUGGAUUGGUGCCUUCGGGAACUGUGAGACAGGUGCUGCAUGGCUGUCGUCAGCUCGUGUUGUGAAAUGUUGGGUUAAGUCCCGCAACGAGCGCAACCCUUAUCCUUUGUUGCCAGCGGUUCGGCCGGGAACUCAAAGGAGACUGCCAGUGAUAAACUGGAGGAAGGUGGGGAUGACGUCAAGUCAUCAUGGCCCUUACGACCAGGGCUACACACGUGCUACAAUGGCAUAUACAAAGAGAAGCGACCUCGCGAGAGCAAGCGGACCUCAUAAAGUAUGUCGUAGUCCGGAUUGGAGUCUGCAACUCGACUCCAUGAAGUCGGAAUCGCUAGUAAUCGUAGAUCAGAAUGCUACGGUGAAUACGUUCCCGGGCCUUGUACACACCGCCCGUCACACCAUGGGAGUGGGUUGCAA
RNAcentral lists this ribosomal RNA (1420 nucleotides) under uncultured bacterium. RNAcentral's name for it is "bacterial SSU rRNA". It matches the Rfam family "Bacterial small subunit ribosomal RNA". The record is from RNAcentral.